GACGAACGCUGGCGGCGUGCUUAACACAUGCAAGUCGAGCGAGGCCCACCUUUCGGGGUGGUGUCCUAGCGGCGAACGGGUGAGUAACACGUGGGCAACCUGCCCUCAGCUCUGGGAUAACUCCAAGAAAUUGGGGCUAAUACCGGAUAUGACUGCUGACCGCAUGGUCUGGUGGUGGAAAGAUUUAUCGGCUGGGGAUGGGCCCGCGGCCUAUCAGCUUGUUGGUGGGGUAGNGGCCUACCAAGGCGACGACGGGUAGCCGGCCUGAGAGGGUGACCGGCCACACUGGGACUGAGACACGGCCCAGACUCCUACGGGAGGCAGCAGUGGGGAAUAUUGCGCAAUGGGCGAAAGCCUGACGCAGCGACGCCGCGUGGGAAUGACGGCCUGGU
Molecule: ribosomal RNA, 392 nt
Filed under: uncultured bacterium
Lineage: Bacteria
Description: bacterial SSU rRNA
Rfam family: Bacterial small subunit ribosomal RNA
Source: RNAcentral